AGGAAGUAAAAGUCGUAACAAGGUUUCCGUAGGUGAACCUGCGGAAGGAUCAUUAAUGAAAAUGUGUUGCCGGGGCCCAUAAUCCCGGCACUAACCUUCUUAUCCAUAACACCUGUGCACUGUUGGAUGCUUGCAUCCACUUUUAUACUAAACAAUUUGUAACAAAUGUAGUCUUAUUAUAAUUAAUAAAACUUUUAACAACGGAUCUCUUGGCUCUCGCAUCGAUGAAGAACGCAGCGAAAUGCGAUAAGUAAUGUGAAUUGCAGAAUUCAGUGAAUCAUCGAAUCUUUGAACGCACCUUGCGCUCCUUGGUAUUCCGAGGAGCAUGCCUGUUUGAGUGUCAUAAACCUCUCAAACCCAAGUUUUGGAUUUAUCCUUGCUUGAGUUUGGAUUUGGGUGUUUGCCAGUGAUGAACUGACUCACCUUAAAAGUAUUAGCUAGAUCUGUCUUUGACUGGUUUGACUUGGCAUAAUAAGUAUUUUGCUAAGGACAUCUUCGGAUGGCCAGGACUUGACUUUUGUCUGCUUACUAAAC
RNAcentral lists this unclassified non-coding RNA (534 nucleotides) under Filobasidium wieringae. Its description in RNAcentral is "sequence contains 18S rRNA gene, ITS1, 5.8S rRNA gene, ITS2, 28S rRNA gene". The stretch from base 190 to 343 matches the Rfam family "5.8S ribosomal RNA". Lineage: Eukaryota; Fungi; Basidiomycota; Tremellomycetes; Filobasidiales; Filobasidiaceae. The record is from RNAcentral.